Molecule: ribosomal RNA, 253 nt
Filed under: uncultured bacterium
Lineage: Bacteria
Description: partial 16S ribosomal RNA
Rfam family: Bacterial small subunit ribosomal RNA
Source: RNAcentral
UACGUAGGGGGCAAGCGUUGUCCGGAUUUAUUGGGCGUAAAGAGCGUGUAGGCGGCCUGGUAGGUCAGCUGUGAAAACUCGAGGCUCAACCUCGAGACGCCGGUUGAAACCAUCAGGCUAGAGUCCGGAAGAGGAGAGUGGAAUUCCCGGUGUAGCGGUGAAAUGCGCAGAUAUCGGGAAGAACACCCGUGGCUAAGGCGGCUCUCUAGUACGGUACUGACGCUGAGAUGCGAAAGCGUGGGGAGCGAACAGG